AAAAAAACCGCGCUUCUUCUGAUUACUUGCCAAUUCAAAAAGAAGGCCUCGCCCUCCACCUCCACCUGUAUGUCCAGUCUGUAAUAACAACGCAUGCGUCAGAGCCGUUUGCCCAACGUAUCUCAAUGCAAUCUGCAAAACAAGUUGUAAUGGAUGUAGAGAACAUUUCUUCAAUCCAUACAAUCUCAGAUACGACAUUGUAAGACAAUGUAAAUGUCCACCUAAUAUUCCGCCAAAUCCGCAUUGCGGUGGAUAUAUGUUGCAACGGUGUUAGAUGUGCAAACUCUCUACAAGCUCAGUGUCGUGUUUAUGGAUGUGACCAAUGUGCUAUUGCAAUUCUUCGAUAGGUUUGGACGUAGAGUACCGUGUAAACAACAAGCAACUUGUCAGCCUGGAAUAAACUCAAUUGGUCUUUGCCCCAGAGGAUGCCUCGGUGCUUCUUGUCCAAAGUAUCCUGAAGCUCAUUGUAGAGUUCUGUGUCCCGGAUGUCCAGUUCAAUUCUACGAUCAGAUAACCAAUCAGGCAAUUGUCGAUUGCAUUGGGAUUUAAAAAGAUUCAAAGCGUUUCCGGCAACGUGCAUCUAAAAUGCAUCAGACUUAUAUCAACCUAUGUUUAACUAAUAAUUAACUAACACCGCAAUAUGUUAAUCUACAAUAUUAAAUAAAUGGCAAACAAUAGAGCGAUUUUCCAAUAUAUUGAUACGAAGACCAAAGUGAACAGUGGUGUAUCGCCAAAAAAUGUCUGACUUUCCCGUAGCAAAAAAGUAGCACGAAAAAGUAACAAUUCUCACAUGAAUCAACUUUCAAUCCGACACUAACUAUGAUGCAGAUAUUCGACCCCUCCCCCCCUAUUGAAAAUAUUGGCUGUGCCCCUGAUGGGAGGGUUAGUCAAUAAAACUAAAAUCUAUUAGAACGUCUUAUUAAAGGGUAUAAAUAUACUAUUUUCAUGGUGGCAUGCUUAUUUUUAUCAGUCUAUGUUCUGUCGCAUUCUGAGCCUUUUACUGGCCUAUUUACAAUAGAUUGUCACAUUCAAUAUGCUUGAUACAUAACACCGCAUUUAGUUGAAGACCUAUUUUGCUUUAUUGAGAAAUAUUUUCAGUUGAUAAAGGGUAAUAAGCGAAUAAGCUUUCACUAACUAAAUGGAAUUAGCAGUUAUUAUUUUUUUCUUUACCGACUGUUAUAAAAAAUUUGGUACAAAAAUUGUAUUUGAAGGUUCACGAGUAAAGAAGAAUUUAAUUACUGAAUUUUCCGAAGUUCAAUGAAAUGAAAUUUGUCAAUAAUGUAAGAUCUGACUUGCAGUUCACAUUUUAAGGUUUGAAUGUAAUAAAAACUCUCGUGGAAGUCUUUGUCAUGUCUUUUUCAAUACUCACACCCGUUGCCAAGGUUGUUCGCUGGACAUUCCUACAAAUUUUUACAUCAAAUGACAUGAAGGAGAUAACCAACCACAUUCUAAAGACACUUGAUGACAAUAAAACUUUUGUGCUGUCGUAUUCAAUAAUUUUUCAAUUUUGUGAAGAUUGGCUUUGGUGGUACUAAACCAGACUUAGCAAAAGUUAACAACAAUCCUAUUUUUAAAUAAUUUUUUUUAUUAACUGCUAAAAUAUUGUCUAGUGUUAGA
This is a non-coding RNA of Styela clava, 1617 nucleotides long. Lineage: Eukaryota; Metazoa; Chordata; Ascidiacea; Stolidobranchia; Styelidae. The record is from RefSeq and is a predicted model, not a curated record.